GCCAGGUGCACUGGUGCAUGCCUGUAAUCCCAGAGGCUCUGGAGGCUGAGGCAGGAGGAUCGCAAGUUCAAAGCCAAUCUCAGCAACUUAGUGAGACUCUGUCUCAA
RNAcentral lists this small RNA (107 nucleotides) under Marmota monax (woodchuck). Lineage: Eukaryota; Metazoa; Chordata; Mammalia; Rodentia; Sciuridae. The record is from RNAcentral.